This 316-nucleotide ribosomal RNA is filed under the name uncultured eukaryote. RNAcentral's name for it is "partial large subunit ribosomal RNA". It matches the Rfam family "Eukaryotic large subunit ribosomal RNA", at positions 40 to 350 of the family's 3401-position model. The record is from RNAcentral.
AUAUUAUUAACCGGAGGAAAAGAAACUAACAAGGAUUCCCUCAGUAAGGGCGACUGAAGCGGGAGAAGCUCAACUUGAAAAUCGGGGUUCCUGCGGGACUUCGAGUUGUAGUCUAGAGACGACACGUCAGCGAGCGGCCUGGGUAUAAAUCUUUUGGAACAAGGUAUCAUAGAGGGUGAGAAUCCCGUCUUUGACCCGGAGACUGCCGCGUUCGAUGUGCGUUCACAGAGUCGAGCUGUUUGGUAUUGCAGCUCUAAAUGGGUGGUAAAUUUCAUCUAAAGCUAAAUAUCGACGGGAGACCGAUAGCGCACAAGUA